RNAcentral lists this ribosomal RNA (453 nucleotides) under uncultured bacterium. RNAcentral describes it as "bacterial SSU rRNA". It matches the Rfam family "Bacterial small subunit ribosomal RNA", at positions 29 to 524 of the family's 1533-position model. The record is from RNAcentral.
AGCGAACGCUGGCGGCAGGCUUAACACAUGCAAGUCGAACGGGCGUAGCAAUACGUCAGUGGCAGACGGGUGAGUAACGCGUGGGAACGUACCUUUUGGUUCGGAACAACCCAGGGAAACUUGGGCUAAUACCGGAUAAGCCCUUACGGGGAAAGAUUUAUCGCCGAAAGAUCGGCCCGCGUCUGAUUAGCUAGUUGGUGUGGUAACGGCGCACCAAGGCGACGAUCAGUAGCUGGUCUGAGAGGAUGAUCAGCCACAUUGGGACUGAGACACGGCCCAAACUCCUACGGGAGGCAGCAGUGGGGAAUAUUGGACAAUGGGCGCAAGCCUGAUCCAGCCAUGCCGCGUGAGUGAUGAAGGCCCUAGGGUUGUAAAGCUCUUUUGUGCGGGAAGAUAAUGACGGUACCGCAAGAAUAAGCCCCCGGCUAACUUCGUGCCAGCAGCCGCAGUAAC